AUUCUACCUAAUACUGGCACCGAUAUAGGUACUGAUAUUCUAGUAAGUAUUUGUACUGCUACGGGCAAUUUUUUUCUAUCUAGAAUUGGUAUUAGAAUUAGUAUUCUGGCCAACAUUGUUAUUGGUAUUGCGGCUAGUGUCUAUGUCAGUAUUCUGGCCAACAGUGGGAUUAGGAUUUUAGCCAACAAUGGUAUCAAUUUUUUUUUUGGCCAUCAUGAGCAUCUAUUGAUCGUGGAGGUGGUGGUGGCAUUGGUGGCAGC
Molecule: long non-coding RNA, 260 nt
Filed under: Elaeis guineensis (African oil palm)
Lineage: Eukaryota; Viridiplantae; Streptophyta; Magnoliopsida; Arecales; Arecaceae
Description: long non-coding RNA (EGUI_LNC048556)
Source: RNAcentral